RNAcentral lists this ribosomal RNA (1387 nucleotides) under Aurantiochytrium sp. RNAcentral describes it as "SSU rRNA". It matches the Rfam family "Eukaryotic small subunit ribosomal RNA", at positions 20 to 1470 of the family's 1831-position model. The record is from RNAcentral. Lineage: Eukaryota; Bigyra; Thraustochytrida; Thraustochytriidae.
GUAGUCAUAUGCUUGUCUCAAAGAUUAAGCCAUGCAUGUGUAAGUAUAAGCGAUUGUACUGUGAGACUGCGAACGGCUCAUUAUAUCAGUAAUAAUUUCUUCGGUAGUUUCUUUUAUAUGGAUACCUGCAGUAAUUCUGGAAAUAAUACAUGCUGUAAGAGCCCUGUAUGGGGCUGCACUUAUUAGAUUGAAGCCGAUUUUAUUGGUGAAUCAUGAUAAUUGAGCAGAUUGACUUUUUUGGUCGAUGAAUCGUUUGAGUUUCUGCCCCAUCAGUUGUCGACGGUAGUGUAUUGGACUACGGUGACUAUAACGGGUGACGGAGAGUUAGGGCUCGACUCCGGAGAGGGAGCCUGAGAGACGGCUACCAUAUCCAAGGAUAGCAGCAGGCGCGUAAAUUACCCACUGUGGACUCCACGAGGUAGUGACGAGAAAUAUCGAUGCGAAGCGUGUUUGCGUUUUGCUAUCGGAAUGAGAGCAAUGUAAAACCCUCAUCGAGGAUCAACUGGAGGGCAAGUCUGGUGCCAGCAGCCGCGGUAAUUCCAGCUCCAGAAGCAUAUGCUAAAGUUGUUGCAGUUAAAAAGCUCGUAGUUGAAUUUCUGGCAUGGGCGACCGGUGCUUUCCCUGAAUGGGGAUUGAUUGUCUGUGUUGCCUUGGCCAUCUUUCUCAUGCUAUUUUUGGUAUGAGAUCUCUCACUGUAAUCAAAGCAGAGUGUUCCAAGCAGGUCGUAUGACCGGUAUGUUUAUUAUGGGAUGAUAAGAUAGGACUUGGGUGCUAUUUUGUUGGUUUGCACGCCUGAGUAAUGGUUAAUAGGAACAGUUGGGGGUAUUCGUAUUUAGGAGCUAGAGGUGAAAUUCUUGGAUUUCCGAAAGACGAACUAGAGCGAAGGCAUUUACCAAGCAUGUUUUCAUUAAUCAAGAACGAAAGUCUGGGGAUCGAAGAUGAUUAGAUACCAUCGUAGUCUAGACCGUAAACGAUGCCGACUUGCGGUUGUUGGGUGCUUUUUUAUGGGCCUCAGCAGCAGCACAUGAGAAAUCAAAGUCUUUGGGUUCCGGGGGGAGUAUGGUCGCAAGGCUGAAACUUAAAGGAAUUGACGGAAGGGCACCACCAGGAGUGGAGCCUGCGGCUUAAUUUGACUCAACACGGGAAAACUUACCAGGUCCAGACAUAGGUAGGAUUGACAGAUUGAGAGCUCUUUCAUGAUUCUAUGGGUGGUGGUGCAUGGCCGUUCUUAGUUGGUGGAGUGAUUUGUCUGGUUAAUUCCGUUAACGAACGAGACCUCGGCCUACUAAAUAGUGCGUGGUAUGGCAACAUAGUACGUUUUUACUUCUUAGAGGGACAUGUCCGGUUUACGGGCAGGAAGUUCGAGGCAAUAACAGGUCUGUGAUGC